Molecule: small nuclear RNA, 117 nt
Organism: Pyrus x bretschneideri (Chinese white pear)
Lineage: Eukaryota; Viridiplantae; Streptophyta; Magnoliopsida; Rosales; Rosaceae
Product: U5 spliceosomal RNA
Exons: 1
Source: RefSeq, a predicted model, not a curated record
AGCCAUGCGUUGAGCAAAAAAUGAAUUAUUCUAUCGCCUUUUACUAAAGAAUAUCGUAUGCUUGUCGUUUUAAGUGGCAUGCGUUUAUUUUUGGAGGGCGCACCUUUGUGGGUGCCC